UCCAAUAUGUCCCAUUCCAAAAGCCUGAAAGUAACAGUGAUGUAAUAGUUACUCAUAAACUUGAUUCUGCACCUGUUGAAACCCUCAGGAAUCAGUAAGUGCCCUGGCAGUACUAGCAACAGACAGAGGAAACCAGAGCCUGUGACAUCCUGAGCAAGCACUGUGUAUCUUCUUAUGGCUGCACACUGAAACCUCAACUCACCCCAUGGCUAUCAAUCUACCAGGAAAACAGUCGGAAGCAGAAUACUACAAAACAGCUUCUGUUAGGCAAUGUUACUGCAAGGUUGAAGGAGCCAGUGUUGGGCGAGUCAGAGCUGCAGAAUUUCACAAGUGACUUUGACUGACGGAUUGUCCAGGAUGCAUGGAGAGCUUGGAGCUUGCCCAGAGAAAGACAUGGGGGACAUAAUAGAAAGCAAGAUUUUACAAUUGGUCUUGUGGAACAGCCUUUGCAACAGGAAAUGGG
Molecule: long non-coding RNA, 463 nt
Filed under: Cyanistes caeruleus (blue tit)
Lineage: Eukaryota; Metazoa; Chordata; Aves; Passeriformes; Paridae
Description: lncRNA (ENSCCEG00000014020.1)
Source: RNAcentral